CACAAAUCUCAUCUGCUGAGGAACUGUAUGCACUUCUUCUUCAACUUCUAAAAUUUUCUGCAACUAUACAUACAGCUUUCUGUAUCUAUACUCAAAACCCUACAAAUGGUGAAGUUGUAGACAGAGAAAAAAAAGUGAGCUAAAAGCUUGGGCGAAAUGCCCACGUCACCUGAAGAAAACCCUAACCCUAAGGUUAAAUUACCGGCGCCGACGAAGAAACGGCGGUCGAGCUUAUCGGAUAUAUGGUACAACAAGGAUCCUCAGGCGUUGAAGCAAUUAGUGCUUCAAAUGCGAGCUCAAUCGGUUUCUAAUUCAACUACUCCACCUUCUGAGCCCGAUUCUGAUACCCAAACCCUAACCCUAGACGACCCGGAACCGACCCGUUUCUCUGCUCCGGAUUAUAUUGACUUGCUCUCUGAUGAGUUGCUGUUGAGUGUGCUUUCGAAGGUUCCAGAAGAACAGCAGCACAUUUCGAAUUCAUUGGUUUGUAAGCGUUGGUGUAAUCUUAGUGGGAAGUUGGUUAGGUCUAUUAAGCUGUUGGAUUGGGAAUUUUUGGAAUCUGGGAGGCUAAGUUAUAGGUUCCCGGGUUUAAUUGACGUUGACCUAGUUCGAGCUUGUGUGAAAUCAAGGAGGAAUUCGGGGAUUGUUAUGAGUCAUAGGCUCGUUUCGUUGCAUUUGGAUUCGAGCUUUGUCAAUGGAGGGUUUGUUAGGAAAGACGGGUUUUUGGGGAAAGAGGUGGUUGAUGGAGGGGUUAAGGUUUUAGUUGAGGGUUGUGCUAAUUUAAGGAGAAUGGUGUUGAUGAAUGUGAGUGUAGAGGGGCUGAGUUAUUUGGGGGAAAAGUGUGAAACUUUGCAGGAGUUGGAAUUGCAUUUCUGUGAUGACUUUACAUUGAAGGGGUUAUUUGGUUGUAGGAAUUUGCAGAUACUGAAAUUGGUUGGUUGCAUUGAUGGGUUGUAUAAUUCAAUGGUUUCGGAUAUAGGGUUGACUAUUUUGGCUCAAGGGUGUAGGCGUUUAUUUAAGCUUGAGCUGGUCGGAUGCGAAGGAAGUUAUGAUGGGAUCAAAGCAAUUGGGCAGUGCUGUCAGAUGCUAGAGGAAUUGGUACUUUGUGAUCAUAGGAUGGAUGGUGGGUGGUUGUCAGCUCUGUCAUAUUGUAGCAACUUGAAAACUUUGAAGCUUCAUUGUUGUAAGGUUUUGGAUUCAAGUCCUGGCCCUGAUGAGCACUUGGGUUCCUGUUCUACUCUCGAGGAGCUACAUUUAGACCAGUGUCAAUUACGGGACAAGCAAGGUGUGAGAGCAUUGUUUCUGGUCUGUGAAACUGUUCGAGAGCUUGUGUUUAGGGACUGUUGGGGAUUAGACAACACUAUAUUUGCCACUGCAAGUGUUUGUCGGAGCUUGAGAUUUCUCUCUUUGGAAGGAUGCUCCUUGCUCACGACUGAAGGAUUAGAUUCGGUAGUUCAGUCAUGGACAGUGCUUGAAAGGCUUAGGGUAGUCUCAUGUAACAAUAUAAAAGAUAGUGAAAUAACACCACAACUAGCGAGUUUAUUUUCUGUUCUCAAAGAGCUAAAGUGGAGGCCAGAUUCUCGGUCUUUCCUUUCAUCAGGUCUUGAAGGGACUGGAAUUGGGCAGAAAGGUGGUAGAUCGUUGCGGAGGAAGUGAAGUGUGGACAAACUGAUGCUGAGAAAUGGAUUCCUUUGUACACCUUGAGAGGUUUAGCCGUGCAAAUACUAUGAAACUGCAAGAGGAGAGCCAGAAUUGUACUUGACUCUGCAAAUCUCAGUGUGUGGUGAUCUGAACCUCGUGAUGAAGCCGUGGAGAUGGGACAUGAGUGGUAUCGCUCUGAGCAGGUGAUGACAUCUAACAAAUUAUCCUGCUUGAAGAGGUCUUCUUCUUCUACGUUUAGAAACUUCUUAUUGACUUGGUGAAUCAUAGUGAAGGGCAUGGGGCUUUCUGGUAGCUGGAAUUUCUUGCUUUGAGUACCCGGAGGUCACACAAAGUUGGCUUCUACUAUCGCAACUAAUUGGGCUUUUGUGUUUUAUUAACAAAUGGUUUCAACUAGGCCAUGUAAAAAUAGCACGGGCUAGCCUUUUCGGAUCGGUCUUUCAAAAAUAGCCAGCGUUUGUAAAGUCAUUAAAAAAUAGCCACUAUUUUGCUGCAACAUGGAAAGUUCCAGCAUAAUAUACUAGAGAUCGGUGCACCUGUCUAUGAAAAUAUGCUGGAAGUCUAGUAUAUUAUAUUAGAACUCCAGUAUAUUAUACCGGAGUAUUUUCCGGAUUUUGAAC
RNA transcript from Nicotiana tabacum (common tobacco), 2279 nucleotides. It is a transcript of the gene named F-box protein At5g51380-like, with no coding region annotated. NCBI's taxonomy places the organism in Eukaryota, Viridiplantae, Streptophyta, Magnoliopsida, Solanales, Solanaceae. The record is from RefSeq and is a predicted model, not a curated record.